Molecule: unclassified non-coding RNA, 190 nt
Filed under: uncultured fungus
Lineage: Eukaryota; Fungi
Description: sequence contains ITS1, 5.8S rRNA gene
Source: RNAcentral
AAGAGGUUUUUGAGUUUUAUACUCGAAACUUCCCACCCAUUGUUAAUUCUGUUUGAGACUUUAGCUUCGGUAAGACUGUUUUUGGAGACAAAAACGAUUGACAGUUGUGAAAAGACUGUUGAUUAGUGCUUACCGUUAGCAUCUUAUACUCUGAUAACUUGUUUGUCUAAUAAACCAAAAAAAUUAAUCA